GCCAUAUACAGCACACUGAGUAUACCAAAUAAUUAGGAACACCUUCCUAAUAUUGAGUUACACCCCCUUUUGCCCUCAGAACAGCCUCAAUAUGUUCGGGGCAUGGACUUCUACAAGGUGUUGACUCCAAUGCUUCCCACAGUUGUGUCAAGUUGGCUGGAUGUCCUUUGGGUGGUGGACCAUUCUUGAUACACACGUGAAACUGUUGACCUUGAAAAACCCAGCAGUGUUGCAGUUCUUGACACAAACCUUUGCGCCUGGCACCUACUACCAUACCCCGUUCAAAGGCACUUAACUCUUUUGUCUUGCCCAUUCCCUCUCUGAAUGGCACACAUACACAAUCUAUGUCUCAAUUGUCUCAAGGCUUGAAAAUCCUUCUUGAACCUGUCUCCUAUACUUCAUCUACACUGAUUGAAGUGGAUUUAACAAGUGACAUCAAUAAGGGAUCAUAGCAUUCACCUGGUCAGUCUAUGUCAUGAAAAGAGCAGGUGUUCCUAAUUUUUUAUAUUUUUUAUUUUUUUCCACCUUUAUUUAACCAGGUAGGCUAGUUGAGAACAAGUUCUCAUUUGCAACUGCGACCUGGCCAAGAUAAAGCAUAGCAGUGUGAGCAUACAACAAAGAGUUACACAUGGAGUAAACAAUUAACAAGUCAAUAACACAGUAGAAAACGAAGGGGGGGUCUAUAUACAAUGUGUGCAAAAGGCAUGAGGAGGUAGGCAAAUAAUUACAAUUUUGCAGAUUAACACUGGAGUGAUAAAAGAUCAGAUGGUCAUGUACAGGUAGAGAUAUUGGUGUGCAGAAGAGCAGAAAAGUAAAUAAAUAAAAACAGUACGGGGAUGAGGUAGGUGAAAAGGGUGGGCUAUUUACCAAUAGACUGAUGUACUAAUGUUUAUAUACUCAGUGUAUGUCAACAUGGUGGCAUGAUGAUAAGAUAUUGGAGUUUUUCAUGUUUUUCAGGAACCAGAGACAGUAUCCAUAGAAGCCAAUGAGUGGAAGAGAGCAGCCUCACAUGAUCAUUAGCACCACUUCUGGACUAUGCUGUACUCUAGAGGCUGUGGACUGUGUAGAGACUGAGAGACGAGUGGAGUCAGGUCAGUGCAUGUUCUCUCUAUUCCCACUGUUUGAGUGCCCUUUGCGAGGAUGUCAUCAUUUUGUUCCAGUAUAUGAUAAUAUGGCUAGGAUCAUGAUAUCCAGGCCUACUCUGAAACACUUUGUUUUGACUUUGUUUUCCCUACUUUGAUUCAUACUCAGUAUUAUUCUGCCUUAUGCGCUUUCCGACUGUACAUACAAUGUAUUGUAAAGUUAUGUGAGGUUUUCUCAGAAAUACUAUAUGUCAGCAAUUGAAAUGACUAGGUAAAGGGAAUUACUGUAUUCCAAUCAGAUGUGGGUCACCUGUUUACCAUGACCAAACAUUACAGAAGAGCUGAAAGUCAUGCAUCCUUCUGUUCAGUUCCAUUGAAACACAAAACCUAAGUUUCCAGUCCAAAACCCUUCUCAAACCCUUCCAACGCCUUGUCUACAAG
This 1523-nucleotide long non-coding RNA is filed under the name Oncorhynchus kisutch (coho salmon). RNAcentral's name for it is "lncRNA (ENSOKIG00005047285.1)". The record is from RNAcentral. Lineage: Eukaryota; Metazoa; Chordata; Actinopteri; Salmoniformes; Salmonidae.